AAACUCCGCAAUGCACGAAAGUGUGACGGGGCUACCCCGAGUGCCAUCCGCUGAGGAUGGCUUUUCCUUGGUAUAACUAGCCGAGGGAAUAAGGAGAGGGCAAGACUGGUGUCAGCCGCCGCGGUAAUACCAGCUCUCCGAGUGGUAGGGAUGAUUAUUGGGCUUAAAGCGUCCGUAGCCGGCUUAGCAAGUCUCCUGUUAAAUUCAGCGACCUAAUCGUUGAUCCGCGGGAGAUACUACUAGGCUAGGAGGCG
RNAcentral lists this ribosomal RNA (254 nucleotides) under uncultured archaeon. Its description in RNAcentral is "partial 16S ribosomal RNA". It matches the Rfam family "Archaeal small subunit ribosomal RNA", at positions 345 to 601 of the family's 1478-position model. The record is from RNAcentral.